GGCGAUCAGAUACCGCCCUAGUUCUAACCGUAAACGAUGACAACCAGCGAUUAAUCGGCGUUAAUAUACGACCCGAUUAGCAGCUUCCGGGAAACCAAAGUUUUUCGUUUCCGGGGGAAGUAUGGUUGCAAAGCUGAAACUUAAAGGAAUUGACGGAAGGGCACCACCAGGAGUGGAGCCUGCGGCUUAAUUUGACUCAACACGGGAAAACUCACCCGGCCCGGACACUGUAAGGAUUGACAGACUGAGAGCUCUUUCUUAAUUCAGUGGGUGGUGGUGCAUGGCCGUUCUUAGUUGGUGGAGCGAUUUGUCUGGUUAAUUCCGAUAACGAACGAGACUCUGGCCUAUUAAAUAGACGAGAUAUUACUCAGUAUCUCGCGCUUCUUAGAGGGACAAGCGGCGUCUAGUCGCAUGAAAAAGAGCAAUAACAGGUCUGUGAUGCCCUUAGAUGUCCGGGGCUGCACGCGCGCUACACUGAAAGAAUCAGUGGGCGUUUUACCUGGUUCGGAAGAACCGGGUAACCCAAGUAAUUUCUUUCGUGCUUGGGAUAGGGAAUUGCAAUUAUUUCCCUUAAACGAGGAAUUCCCAGUAAACGCGGGUCAUAAGCUCGUGUUGAUUACGUCCCUGCCCUUUGUA
RNAcentral lists this ribosomal RNA (636 nucleotides) under Eudorylaimus cf. carteri TSH-2005. RNAcentral describes it as "SSU rRNA". It matches the Rfam family "Eukaryotic small subunit ribosomal RNA", at positions 1003 to 1664 of the family's 1831-position model. Lineage: Eukaryota; Metazoa; Nematoda; Enoplea; Dorylaimida; Qudsianematidae. The record is from RNAcentral. RNAcentral also lists the same sequence under 4 other names.